CCUACGGGGUGCAGCAGUGGGGAAUAUUGCACAAUGGGGGAAACCCUGAUGCAGCGACGCCGCGUGAGUGAAGAAGUAAUUCGUUACGUAAAGCUCUAUCAGCAGGGAAGAAAUACUGACCUUACGGUCAGCAGACGGUACCUGAGUAAGAAGCCCCGGCUAACUACGUGCCAGCAGCCGCGGUAAUCCGUAGGGGGCAAGCGUUAUCCGGAUUUACUGGGUGUAAAGGGAGCGUAGACGGUGCGCCAAGUCUGGAGUGAAAUGCCGCAGCUUAACUGCGGAACUGCUUUGGAAACUGGCGAACUAGAGUGCGGGAGGGGUAAGCGGAAUUCCUAGUGUAGCGGUGAAAUGCGUAGAUAUUAGGAGGAACACCGGUGGCGAAGGCGGCUUACUGGACCGUAACUGACGUUGAGGCUCGAAAGCGUGGGGAGCAAACAGGAGUAGAUACCCUUGUAGUC
This 458-nucleotide ribosomal RNA is filed under the name uncultured bacterium. RNAcentral's name for it is "partial 16S ribosomal RNA". It matches the Rfam family "Bacterial small subunit ribosomal RNA", at positions 338 to 795 of the family's 1533-position model. The record is from RNAcentral.